ACUCAGCGUUCUCGCGAGGCGAGGUGCUGAACUGAGGUGGGAGGGUCUAAAUGCGAGUUCUUCCUCUCUCGGCCACUCCUGCUAGCGCGAAUUCUCGGCAGAAUGAGUGGUUAUCGCGAUCUCCAGUCUUUACUGGAGACGCGAGACCUUUCGGAAGAGGCAACGAGAACUGAGUUGUGAAUCUCGCUCCGUCUGGUUGCUGGGUGCAACGAGGCGUGUGAAGAGGCUUAGGACCCAUCUCUGAGAAACAGCAGAGCAACCUGGGAGGUUACCUGAAGUAAAACUGCCUGUCGACUGACAAGGAACAGUGAGUGAGAGCAGUGAAGCUGUACUAUCAAAACCAGUGCUGUGGAGCAGCAACCACUUGUUUGUUACGUGAAGAAUUUGGCAUUUGACUUGUACAGAGUGGUAAAUGUCACAAGUCUGAUCACAAAGUUUGAAGCAACUGGCAGUGUGUAUGAUGCCAAAAGACAAGGAAAAUGAGUUUCAGCAAUGACAGAAGGAAAGGCUGCCGAAUUAUGGGCAUCGUUAUGAAGCCCUCAAAAAUCCAGUGGGUGUCUGUCAGGGGAACUCGGUAUUAAUGACAGAAGUGUUUGAAGGUUAUUGGACAAAAUGAAAAUAAAGCCACACAUACUGUGUUUGCUACUCCUUACAUGCUAAGAGAUUCAGACAGAAAGGCAGAAUUUUGUGGAAAGAUUUUUGGCCAAAUUACAUAAGGAUGAGAACAUACCAACUAAGGUAACGGGGUGGUCAGAUGAAGCUAUGUUCAAAUUGAUCGGCCGUAUCAAUAACCAUAAUAAUGUGUAUUAGAGCAAUGUGAAUCCACACAUUAUCUUCGAGAAAGACAUAAACUUAUCAGGGGUAACAGUCUGGGCAACGGUAUCAGUCAUGGGUAUAAUUUGGCCAGUGUUCUUUGAUGGUACUACCAGUGAGAAUAAUUACCUACGUGUCCUACAGACAAGAAUUGUGGCCUAGAGUUGAACAAGACUGGAGUUUAUUUCCAGCAGGACGGUGUACCACAUUAUGUGUUGUGUGUCAGAGAAUGGUUGGGCAUGCAUUUUGAAGGGAGAUGGACAGGGCAAUGAGGGCCACUGGAAUGGCCAGCUCAAUCCCCAGACCUAACUCUGCCUGACUUCUUUUUGUGGGGCGUCCCUUAAAGAUAUGUGUACAAGACUGAACCCUGCAACACUGAUGAACUGAAAGACAGAAUCUGGGACAAAUUUGCUGACAUUACUCUCAAAUUAUGUCAUAAGGCUUGCUUGAGUGUCGUUGAUAGGGUAUGUGAAUGUCUCACUCGAGAGGGAUAGCAAUUUGAACAUUUCACCUAAAAUGUUGUAUGGUGUGCUUGAGUGUGAUAUUGUUAUGUUACAGAAUCACAUACUUAAGAUUUUGUAAUACAAGAUUUGGUAUCGAUUACCAGUGCAUAAAACAGGGGCGUUAUUUGUGCCGGACCCUGUAUAUAAUUUGGUUAAGUGAUUAUAAUAAUAAAGGAAGAGACACUGCCUUCUUAUUCUCUCCAGGGCUGGUCCCUAUACCAAAAGAACAGUGAAAGUUACAGUGAAUAAUUAUAGACUACAGCUUUCUGAGCCUAAUUGUGCUAUAAACUAGAGGAUUACCACUUGGGUCACUCAAACUACUGCUCAAAGGACUACCUCACUGGAAGUUAUUUGGCUUGACCUUAGACAAUGAAAGGGGGAAAUGUGGCAAUUUUUAAGCCCCUUAUGAUGUUAAACCAAAACAAAAACCACUCUUGUACAGAGAUAUUAUGUCUUAGUUCUCACCUUUCCUCUUAGAGACUACUUAAACAAUGAUACUACAGACUGGGAAUAAAGUAGAAGCCAUAGCUACUCAGAUCUUAGGUAUUAGGCAUAAUUGCAACAGAAUGUGAUAUGGCCAAAAAAACACCCAUGCCAGCAAAAAGUUCUUUCACCUACUCAUAAAUACUAUAAAAGGUCAAUUUUGUUAUCAGUUCUAGAACUGAACAGCACGGCUUUUAUGAAACUCAAAAACUUUUAGCCUCAAGCAGAGUGAAGGCAGUUAAGAGUCUCAACUCCUUAAAUAUGACAUUCAAGACCUUCCAACAAAGUUACAUGUAUCAGGGUUCUCAUGUCCUGUCUCCCAGUCUCUGACUCUGCAUAGCCAUUACUGACCUGCUCAUGUAUUUUUAAAAGCUCUGAGGGGAACUAUUAUUCUAACUAAACUGGAAAGUCCUUGAGGGAAAGAAUUGUCUUAAAUCCUUAAUGUUUAAGCUACCCUAAGAUUAAAGCAGCAGCACAGCAUAAAAAUAAUAUAAACCACAAAUAUUGAUUUCACUGAUUUAGCUUUUGGAAAUAAUUGAAAAUUCAAGUAUAAUUUACAACUUUAAGGCUAAAAGGUUGAAAACAAGUACCUGAAUUUUUUGGCCAACUUCUAAUCCUAGGGCAGUGGGAUGUUGAAUCUGAAAGAGAACAUGUUGACUCUAUUAGUUAUCAUGCAUAAUUACUUAGUAUCUAUGGUAGAAUAUAUUUUUUUCCCAAGUGGAAAAUAGCUUUAUUGGUUUUUCUGAUUAUAAAAUUGUAAUUAUAAAGACUUAAAAUAACCUUUCUACUUAUAAUAAACUAUUAUUAACAUGCCAAUAA
Molecule: long non-coding RNA, 2618 nt
Organism: Pteronotus mesoamericanus
Lineage: Eukaryota; Metazoa; Chordata; Mammalia; Chiroptera; Mormoopidae
Exons: 2
Source: RefSeq, a predicted model, not a curated record